AUACGUAGGUGGCGAGCGUUGUCCUGAAUUAUUGGGCGUUAAAGCGCGCGCAGGCGGGAAAGUAAGUCUACUCUAAAAGUGCGGGGCUCAACCCCGUGAUGGGGUGGAAACUGCUUUUCUUGAGUGCCGGAGAGGAAAGCGGAAUUCCCAGUGUAGCGGUGAAAUGCGUAGAUAUUGGGAGGAACACCAGUGGCGAAGGCGGCUUUCUGGACGGUGUCUGACGCUGAGGCGCGAAAGCCAGGGGAGC
RNAcentral lists this ribosomal RNA (247 nucleotides) under uncultured bacterium. RNAcentral's name for it is "partial 16S ribosomal RNA". It matches the Rfam family "Bacterial small subunit ribosomal RNA", at positions 523 to 769 of the family's 1533-position model. The record is from RNAcentral.